CCUANGGGCGGCAGCAGUGAGGAAUCUUGCGCAAUGGGGGAAACCCUGACGCAGCAACGCCGCGUGAGUGAUGAAGGCUUUCGGGUCGUAAAGCUCUGUCAAGUGGGAAGAAACUGCAUCAUGCUAAUAUCAUGAUGCAUUGACGGUACCACUGAAGGAAGCACCGGCUAACUCCGUGCCAGCAGCCGCGGUAAUACGGGGGGUGCUAGCGUUAUUCGGAAUCAUUGGGCGUAAAGGGCGCGUAGGCGGUCUCUUGUGUCAGAUGUGAAAGCCCUCGGCUUAACCGAGGAAGUGCAUUUGAAACUGAGAGACUUGAGUAUGGGAGAGGGAAGUGGAAUUCCUGGUGUAGCGGUGAAAUGCGUAGAUAUCAGGAGGAACACCGGUGGCGAAGGCGGCUUCCUGGACCAAUACUGACGCUGAGGCGCGAAGGCGUGGGGAGCAAACAGGAUUAGAUACCCGANUANUC
RNAcentral lists this ribosomal RNA (466 nucleotides) under uncultured bacterium. Its description in RNAcentral is "bacterial SSU rRNA". It matches the Rfam family "Bacterial small subunit ribosomal RNA", at positions 338 to 795 of the family's 1533-position model. The record is from RNAcentral.